UACAGAGGCCUCGAGCGUUAGUCGGAAUCACUGGGCUUAAAGCGUGUGUAGGCGGACUUCUAAGUACCUUGUGAAAUCCCACGGCUUACCCGUGGAACGGCUGGGUAUACUGGGUGUCUUGAGCCACUUAGGGGCUGCCGGAACAAAUGGUGGAGCGGUGAAAUGCGUAGAUAUUCGGAAGAACACCAGAGGCGAAGGCGACUUACUGGACACAUAUUGACGCUGAGGUGCGAAGGCGUGGGGAGCAAACAGG
Molecule: ribosomal RNA, 253 nt
Filed under: uncultured bacterium
Lineage: Bacteria
Description: partial 16S ribosomal RNA
Rfam family: Bacterial small subunit ribosomal RNA
Source: RNAcentral